CGCGGGCAUCGGCGGGCCGGCCGCGCUGCCCGCGGGGCUGCAUGGCACUGCGCCCCGCGCGGGAGGAGCGCGCUCCCUCCCCCCCCGCGGCGUCCCUGUCUCUCCGCCCGCCCUCGCCGGGAGCGGGGGCCGGGGCCGCGGCGGGCAUGGCCGCCCGCGCGGGGCGCUCCGCCGCCUGACUCCGGGCCGGGCGCCCUCCCGCUGAGCACCGCGGCCCCCGGCGGCAUGGCAGUGGCAGUGGCGGCGGCAGGCGGCGGCGCGGCCGCGGCGCAGCCGUAGCGCGGCGGAGCGGCGCAGGACAGACCCCGCGAGGCGGCGGGGCCGCCGGCCGGCACCAUGCGCCGGUCCAGCACCGACGAGUCCACGUACCGCCGGAGCCCGUCCCUGGACAGCAAGGAGUACAGCCCGCCCCGCGGCGCCUUCCGCCGCUACAGCAGCAUGUACGGCGGCCAGUUCGGGGCCGCCAGCAACUCUUUUUUCGGCUUCCACACCAACCCGGGCCCCAAGGCCACCAAGGCUAAGUACACGUCCCCCAAGGGAAACAAGUACGUUGUCUUUUACCUGGAUCUCUCGUUUAUUUUUCUCCUAGAGCUGAAGCGGUGCAGCAUGGCUCACAACUGCCUGCAGUGCAUCAAGUACCUAAUGUUUGUCUUCAACCUUCUCUUCUGGUUGGGAGGCUGUGGAAUCCUUGGAGUAGGCAUCUGGCUGGCUGUUACCCAAGGCAACUUUGCUACCCUCUCCUCUUCUUUCCCAUCCCUGUCGGCUGCCAACCUACUGAUCGUCACGGGGACUUUCGUCAUGAUCAUCGGCUUCGUGGGCUGCAUAGGUGCCAUCAAAGAAAACAAGUGCCUCCUGCUGAGUUUUUUUAUCAUGCUGUUAAUUGUAUUUCUGUUGGAGCUCACCGUCGUGAUUCUCUUCUUCGUCUACACUGACAAGAUUGACAAGUAUGCUCAGCGGGAUCUGAAGAAAGGGCUUCAUUUGUAUGGGACAGAUGGAAAUAUUGGCCUAACUAAUGCAUGGAGCAUCAUUCAAACAGAUUUCAGAUGCUGUGGAGUCUCCAACUAUACUGACUGGUUUGAAGUGUACAACACAACCCGGGUGCCAGACUCCUGCUGCUUGGAGUUCAGCGAGAACUGUGGGCUCCAUUCCCCGGGGACGUGGUGGAAAGCGCCUUGCUAUGAAACAGUGAAAAUAUGGCUCCAGGAGAACUUACUAGCAGUGGGAAUCUUUGGAUUAUGCACAGCUCUGGUGCAGCAAUACAGAUAAGGACAAAAGGCAGACAGAAACUAGGAACAGAACAAGGACAUGGGCCGGCAGGAAAGCAGUAUGUGAUGUGUCUUCCUGUGUGUGAAUGGGAACAAACAAAAACAGUAUUCUCGGACUCACCUUUGCAAUGACCAUGUAUUGUCAGGUAGUCAAGGCAGACACCUACUGUGCAUAGAUACCAUUCCCAAUCUCUCUGCUUCUCCUCCAAAGGACACAGGAGAAAUCUCCUUCAUGCUCAUUCAUCUGACCUGUUUUUUGGGUUUUUUUUUUCCCCUUUGUAAUAUAAACUGUGUAUAAUGCUAUCUUUCUGAAGAUUUUUGUGAAUCACCCCACUUUACUGAAGGAGGAAGAAAAGACAAACUCAGUACUUGAACUGGCCCAGGUAAGAAGCAGCCUUGUCUUUAAACAGAAGAAAACCUCCAGAGAACAAUGGUUCCUUUUCAAUGGCCUAUGGCAAGACUAAGGAGGUUGCUUACGGGAGGCUGAUCUGCAAACUGAUGUUGUUAGGAAAAGAUUGCACUGAGGAAACCUCUGUGAAAGCUGCCAGGUUGCCUUCUAGCAUAUCACAGUCUGGAAGAGAGGGUGUAGAAAAUGAGUAUUCUUCAGCAUUCAAAGAAGGUACAGAGUAGCUAGCACUGAAUGCAAUUGAAAUAUUACUCCAGCUCGCACACAGGUAGAAUGUCAAGAGCAAGCUGCCCUGCCUCUAAGUGUUUCAAGAUGAUUUUGUAGCCAGGAGAGGAUCAUCUUCAGAAAUAUGUUAAUCAUCUCAUGUGCUGCAAAGUCAGGCUUUUAAUCAGAAUCUGUGCAGUGACAUCUGGCUGCUAAGGGAAGUAAUAUUGGACAUUGUCUCACUUACUAAUUGCCAGUGGCAUUAUAGAUUGUUGGCUGUAUAUGCAAUAUAUAUUCAUAUACACCUACUGUUCUAAAAGGAGGUGAAAUACCUAGCAUCUAACCUCAGAAAGAGGGAACCUUUCUAUCCCAUUUUACAUUCCAACUGAAAUAACUGAGUAUUAUUUCUUGUAGGAGGCACUAUCACUUAUAUCUCUGGGAAACAAGUAAUUACCUUCAGCUGUAUCUUCAUUUCAGUAAACAACUUGUGAGUGGGCUCUCUGUCAUUCUACUUUUUUUUCCAUUCCUGUUUCAAGUUAAUCUGCCAAAAAGUAUCACUCAUUUCCACACCUGAAGAUCAUACAACGCUGUCAGCUGUUCCUUCCCUGAAUGUCACCAUUUCAUUAAUUUACUCCAGGAUACCAUCAUCUGCAGGGAUGAUAGAGUUUGGCUUGCUGAGGAUAAAUCUUUUGCACAUUGCUCAUCUUUCCUAGAGUUAUUAAGACUUCAGAUAUUUUUAUGCUUAGAAUUUUUUUUAGCUGCUUCCUUACAACAGCCAAGGCACAUCAGUCUUUGUUGGAAGCGGAGUCACCUCUCAUUUUUGCCUUUCGUACCCAUCUCCCUCCUUUUAGCUUCAACCGCUGUUGACUAGAAUAUCUCCCACAUUUUGUGGGAUUUGCAGAAAUCAAAGUUGUAACUUUCCUUUGCCAAAAAACAGCCAGCGGUUGCCUGAUUUCUUCCCCCUGCAUUGGUAACUGAAGUAAUUUUAGUAGUACCCUUCUGUGGGAACCAUGGCUAUGAGGUUAAGAAUCAGAUGCUUAUCAUUCAAACAAAUUGCAGAGAAUUUCCCACCAGCAGGCAGCCCCAGAAAAUGCACGUGGGGUAAGGAGUGGCAGAAGCAUCCUGGGGAAAGCGGACAGCAGGGAACAGGCUAACGCAGCGAUCCACCCGGCCCGUUCCCCAUAGCCAGCUUGCCCGGGGCCUCUCUGCUACUGCCAGGGGAGGGGCUAGACAGCCCAGUGCCCAAUGCAGUCAGUGCUACUGCGACAGACUAGAAGCAUGCAUCAAGUUCAGGCACACCGCAGCAGGUCUCAGCUACAAGUGACACUUUGCGUACCUUGAUUUAAAGGCAAUUUCCGACAGGAACGCUGGACUCUUCCAACCAAGAUACAGCAAUCUCCCAAACACCAGUAAGUAAUCCUUUUCUGCACCUGCACCAUUGGACAAAUACUACUCUCACUGCUUAUUUUUUUUCUCCUCAUUGAUUUCCUGCAGUCUUCUCACCCUGAGGCCCAAACUACCCCAUGUUUUUUGGGGAUGUGCUUAGGACAGUCUGCUCUGUGAAACUGCAAGUACCUUUCAAAAUCCUAUGCCUACCUUUGCGAAGCAACGUCUGUAGCAUCGGGCACUCACUUGUGCAGGCUGAGUUGAAAGUAAUACAUUACUUGUGUGUAUUUUGUGUGGCUUCCCAAUCACUCACUAUUACGGCAACCUCAUCACCACUAAUGGAUUUUAUUGCCAUACCAACAAGCCACAAAUGUUAACAGACCUCAGUCCAAGACAGAGGUUUAACUGAGUGAGUAGCCCAAGAAUACAGAGGACACCUCUGCCUUGAACAAGAGACUUACUCUUGGUGUUGUAAUCACCAAGGUCUCACGCUCCACUUACUGAGCUGAGACAGACCUGCAAACAGUCUGGUUCUUUGAGAGCUGGAGAGGUGGUAUAAGUAAGUUUUUUCCUCCCUCCCUCCAUGCUUUUCUCUUCUUACCUGCAUAGAAGCAAUUCCAAGUAGAUGUACCAUUAGUGGAAGUUCUUGCCAUGGUUUAUUAUAAUAGUUGUACUCACAGGUGCUCCUGCUGACAGCUCUGAGUUUCCACCACUGAAAAGCAGCAUAACAGAGUGAUGAACACAUUAAUAAAACAUUGAUUUUUUUUUUAAAGAAAGAUAAAAGAUAGACAAGGCUAUUUGUAGCAGUCCCUGCCAUUAAAAAUUAACACAGCAAGAGCAGUCCUGAUGGCUCAGUUGAUGAGAGCAAACCGUUGUGCAGUCGCGCUCCCACAGAGGGCACCUCUCAUCAGUUUACCUGCGGGUGGUGUAGGGAGAUGAGAGACCAUAACCCUCAUCCUGCGAGUCUCCUAAUAAUGCGUGCUGAGCUCUUAGAGAAGACGACUAGACUUCAGCAAAACCUACAGAAGAAACAAAAUGAGAAGCAGUAGAAAGACUGAAGACAAGUCACCCUUUCUGGUUCCCUCUAAUCAUUUGCCAUGGUUUAGGCAUCUUUACAAGAUAAACUGCCUUGGUUUUCAAAGAGAAGAUAUAGGCAGUAUGGAUAAUACUCUACUUGUAAAUCCCAGUCACUGCAACAGCAACAUUCAGCAGUAACUCGGGAGGGGGAGCCAAACUCCCUCUUGCAUUGCAAAAACACUACUCUUACACUGCCAACAAAGAUGUUACUUACUGAUAGCCUGAACUGGACUAUUUUUCUAUAUUUGAUGUUAUUAAGUCUCUUCACAUAGGCCACCAAACAGAUGAUAUGGUGCUUAAAGCAUUACCAACACAACCCAGUUUCAAACCUCUGCCCAUACUGCAUACAGCAAUACACAAGCAAGCCUCAGAUUUAUCAUAUUUUGUUUUUUAAAAAGCUGCAGCCUUUCUUCAUCAACAAAGUCUGAAUAUUUUGUGAUGUGUGUCACAGUAACAUUUUUUUUAAAAGUUACAUAGUAUGCAGAAACUUCAGAGUGAACUGGUUGGUUAUGAUUACCCUGUAGUACAUAAUGCACCCUUUUACAAGGCUGCUUGUAUUGUAGAUAUGUAGAGCAACACAGAAGUCAUUCCAAUUGCUUCUAUUAGCGUUUUUCACUUUUAGUAAGGUCUUUUAUAUUAUUUUCUCAUCUUAUUUUUGAACAUGGAGGAGGACUCAAUACAUUCAAAUUGAAGACAGACUCGAAGGCAAAAAAAAGUCAGAGAUUGAAGCCAAGCACUCCUAAUUUAUGCUCAUUAUGCUUUCUGCUUAAUAACAAGGUGUGAAGGAAUAGGGCAUACGGCUGGACCUACUGAAUUCAGCAAGACCAAGAGUUGGCUUUUAGGUUCAGUCUGAUAUACUUUUGGCUCUUCUGUCUUUCCAUCUCCACAACUGUAAGAAUAUAUAUAAAUAUAUAUAAUAGAAUGUGUUUUAUUUUCUUGUACAGUAACUGUCAGUAGCAGCCAAAUCUUAUUGCUUGUUUGAUAGAAUUAUUUAGCUCUACAUCUUAUAGCACACAAUCAAUGAAAUUCACUUCGGUUUCUGUUUUAUGAAUACUUAUUUACUCCUUCCCCUCAAAUCCAACCUUCUAAAGGUUUUUUUUCUUCCAUUUAAUGAUUACCAUUUGAAUGCAGCGUUGUAUGAUUUAUAAUACGGAGAGGAAGAAACUGCACAGAAGCUAUAUAUUUUAUCUAGCAUCAGCAAUAUGGCUGCUAUGCAAAUCCAUCCCACCCCUCACUUCUCACAAGCUAAUUAAAAACUGUUUGGUUACAUCUCUCAGUGCAUGUGGCUCUAAGCUGCCUCUUCCCCCAUUCAUAGAUAGGACAGGAGGUUGUCAGUAUGGAAAAAGUUAAAAGCCAUUCACAUACCUGAUGAUAGCUUCAUUGUUGUGCUGUAAGUGUGGCAUUUAUUUUAAAACCAGACUUACUUAACUGGUUUUACCUUGUCCACAUUAACGUUGUCCACAAGGAUUCACGCUAAGUGUGAAUGAUCUUCAUAGAUACUGCUUUAGACAAUUCACAGUAAGAAAACAAGUCAGGACUUACCAUGGGAAAUUUUGUUUGGAGCUCCUUUGUGAAUUCUCUUAGAUUGUCACCUGUAUCUUAUCACAGCGGACAGGUCUCCUCUGUUCCUUGGAUUUUGUCACUGCAACAAUAAUGAUACAUUUUUGUGCAUUCAUAUAAAGAACAAAAUUUAAAAUAUACAUUUUAUUUUUUAAAAGUUAUUAAAUAUUCUUUAAAGUUUACAACAGAAUGUCUUUUGUAUUCUUUUUAAUGAACAUAUUCACACUGCAAGCUAUACAGUGAGUAUAUACAUACCCAAAGAUGUGUGUGCAUGUGCACACACAGAGUGUAUGCAAUAAAAAAUAUAUAGCAUACUUCCCUUUUGUCAUUUCUCAUUACAUAAAUUUGAUUUGGUCUGUCCUUGCUUAUGGAUUUUUUUUUUCCAAGUGGCUCACCUGUUCCCAGGUAAAUUUAUACUCCUUUCUGUUUCCUGUUUAAGGGCAAGCUGAAAGUAUGCAAGAGGCAAUAUAGGUAGUAUUUCAGAAAAUACUGGGGGCUCCAGGUUUACUGUUGAUGUAACAAAUAGCAUGUAGACACAAAACCCAUUAUUUUCUAUUUUGAACUUGUCUAUGUUACUGAUAUUUUUGAAACAAAAGGUUUUCUUUUCUUCUGAGGAGGUGAUUGCUUAGAUUCAGAUAUUAACUAGGAAAACUCAGCAAAGUCACAGCAGCCCCUCUGCCGAAAUGGCCCAUUAGGAACAUCGGUACCAGCUCCAAAGGAGGUCUGGUUAUACUGGGCAGCUUGUGUGAAGUCGUAUACAACACUUUGCCUUUUCCAGUACAAUUUAUUGCACCCUCUAGUUCAAAAGGCUAUUCCAGUUUUGCUGGUGAAAUUGCCUCUACAUUUGGUGUAUUCCAACACAGGAGUACUAUUAAAAGUUUAAGGGCAGAAAUGGCCUGAAAGUGGAAGGAACCAGAUGUUUUAGAGGUUGUUGCAGGAAACUUCACAAAGGAUAAUCCAAUCCUUGGUGGAAGUUUCUUCCAACUCCCGCAAGUCAGUGGCAGGUUUGCAUUUCUUGAAUUUUCUUCAUCCUGUUAAGUGUACCACUAGAUGGUCUCAUUAACCACAUCUGUCUUUCAUUCUUCUCUGAAUUCCUUAAAGCUUUUGGCUUCAAUGUUAUCUUCUAGCAGUGAAUUUCACAAUUCCAUCAUGCCAUAUACAUUUUUUUUAAAAGAAACUUCUGAUAUGUAUUUUAAACACGUUGCCUUUCAAUUUCAUUAAUUCACUGUCACUUCUAUACUUCAGAAAUGCUAACUUAAUGGAAAUUUAUGGGCACAGAGCAACUCGAUUACCUUUACAGCCUAAUUUGUCUUCCCAAUAAAGCUUAAACCUGAGUAA
RNA transcript from Dromaius novaehollandiae (emu), 7236 nucleotides. It is a transcript of the gene named tetraspanin 4, with no coding region annotated. NCBI's taxonomy places the organism in Eukaryota, Metazoa, Chordata, Aves, Casuariiformes, Dromaiidae. The record is from RefSeq and is a predicted model, not a curated record. The transcript is spliced from 8 exons.